RNAcentral lists this ribosomal RNA (1298 nucleotides) under metagenome. RNAcentral's name for it is "bacterial SSU rRNA". It matches the Rfam family "Bacterial small subunit ribosomal RNA", at positions 209 to 1498 of the family's 1533-position model. The record is from RNAcentral.
GGCCUUGCGCUCUUUGAGCGGCCGAUGUCAGAUUAGCUAGUUGGUGAGGUAAAGGCUUACCAAGGCGACGAUCUGUAGCGGGUCUGAGAGGAUGAUCCGCCACACUGGAACUGAGACACGGUCCAGACUCCUACGGGAGGCAGCAGUGGGGAAUUUUGGACAAUGGGGGCAACCCUGAUCCAGCCAUGCCGCGUGAGUGAAGAAGGCCUUCGGGUUGUAAAGCUCUUUCGGCCGGGAAGAAAUCGCAUGGGCCAAUACCCUGUGUGGAUGACGGUACCGGAAUAAGAAGCACCGGCUAACUACGUGCCAGCAGCCGCGGUAAUACGUAGGGUGCGAGCGUUAAUCGGAAUUACUGGGCGUAAAGCGUGCGCAGGCGGUUUUGUAAGACAGGCGUGAAAUCCCCGGGCUUAACCUGGGAACUGCGUUUGUGACUGCAAGGCUAGAGUACGGCAGAGGGGGGUGGAAUUCCACGUGUAGCAGUGAAAUGCGUAGAGAUGUGGAGGAACACCAAUGGCGAAGGCAGCCCCCUGGGUCGAUACUGACGCUCAUGCACGAAAGCGUGGGUAGCAAACAGGAUUAGAUACCCUGGUAGUCCACGCCCUAAACUAUGUCAACUAGGCGUUGGGUGGGUAAAACCAUUUAGUACCGUAGCUAACGCGUGAAGUUGACCGCCUGGGGAGUACGGCCGCAAGGUUAAAACUCAAAGGAAUUGACGGGGACCCGCACAAGCGGUGGAUGAUGUGGAUUAAUUCGAUGCAACGCGAAAAACCUUACCUACCCUUGACAUGCCAGGAACUUGCCAGAGAUGGCUUGGUGCCCGAAAGGGAGCCUGGACACAGGUGCUGCAUGGCUGUCGUCAGCUCGUGUCGUGAGAUGUUGGGUUAAGUCCCGCAACGAGCGCAACCCUUGUCGUUAAUUGCCAUCAUUUGGUUGGGCACUUUAACGAGACUGCCGGUGACAAACCGGAGGAAGGUGGGGAUGACGUCAAGUCCUCAUGGCCCUUAUGGGUAGGGCUUCACACGUCAUACAAUGGUCGGUACAAAGGGUUGCCAAGCCGCGAGGCGGAGCCAAUCCCAGAAAGCCGAUCGUAGUCCGGAUUGCAGGCUGCAACUCGCCUGCAUGAAGUCGGAAUCGCUAGUAAUCGUGGAUCAGCAUGUCACGGUGAAUACGUUCCCGGGUCUUGUACACACCGCCCGUCACACCAUGGGAGCGGGUUCCGCCAGAAGUAGGUAGCCUAACCGCAAGGGGGGCGCUUACCACGGCGGGGUUCGUGACUGGGGUGAAGUCGUAACAAGGUA